UNAAAGUUUUAACUUGGANGCUGGCGGCGUGUNUAAUACAUGCAAGUNCGAGCGAACUGAUUAGAAGCUUGCUUCUAUGACGUUAGCGGCGGACGGGUGAGUAACACGUGGGCAACCUGCCUGUAAGACUGGGAUAACUUCGGGAAACCGAAGCUAAUACCGGAUAGGAUCUUCUCCUUCAUGGGAGAUGAUUGAAAGAUGGUUUCGGCUAUCACUUACAGAUGGGCCCGCGGUGCAUUAGCUAGUUGGUGAGGUAACGGCUCACCAAGGCAACGAUGCAUAGCCGACCUGAGAGGGUGAUCGGCCACACUGGGACUGAGACACGGCCCAGACUCCUACGGGAGGCAGCAGUAGGGAAUCUUCCGCAAUGGACGAAAGUCUGACGGAGCAACGCCGCGUGAGUGAUGAAGGCUUUCGGGUCGUAAAACUCUGUUGUUAGGGAAGAACAAGUACGAGAGUAACUGCUCGUACCUUGACGGUACCUAACCAGAAAGCCACGGCUAACUACGUGCCAGCAGCCGCGGUAAUACGUANGUGGCAAGCGUUUUCCNGAAUUAUUGGGGCGUAAAGCGCGCGCAGGCGGUUUCUUAANUCUGAUGU
RNAcentral lists this ribosomal RNA (600 nucleotides) under bacterium B3(2006). RNAcentral's name for it is "bacterial SSU rRNA". It matches the Rfam family "Bacterial small subunit ribosomal RNA", at positions 1 to 595 of the family's 1533-position model. The record is from RNAcentral.